RNAcentral lists this ribosomal RNA (110 nucleotides) under Myotis brandtii (Brandt's bat). The record is from RNAcentral. Lineage: Eukaryota; Metazoa; Chordata; Mammalia; Chiroptera; Vespertilionidae.
GACUAUUAAUAAAUCACAAGUGAACGCGCCCGAUCUCGGAAGCUAAGCAGGGUCAGGCCUGGUUAGUACUUGGAUAGGAGACCACCUGGGAAUACCGGGUGCUGUAGGCU